This is a non-coding RNA of Gossypium arboreum, 107 nucleotides long. The record is from Rfam. Lineage: Eukaryota; Viridiplantae; Streptophyta; Magnoliopsida; Malvales; Malvaceae.
AACACAUGAUGAUGGCACCUUCUCAAAAGAUCCUUAAAUCUCUCACAUGCAUCAUAUAAUGUAUCUAAAUCAAUUUGAACAUAAGAAGAGAUGUCAUUUCUCAACUU